UUUGAUGUUGCUACUUUUUAAUCACAUCAUGUGUUGUAGUUUAGAAUGUUUAGAAUGUGAUACUUGCAUAAUUUUUGCAAACGUUUUGUUGUCAUCAGAACUUCGUUUUUAUUAUCACAGUGUUUUACCAUUACGCUCGCCUGGGGUGUAUUCAUCACGGAGAUUGUUUACCGUUUAAGAACCAAAUGGAUGCAAAUAGAGCAAACGGAACGAAACUGGGCGGGAUUUACCAGAAUUUGUCCAAUAGAAACUCUCGUUUGCGUUUUCCGUUUGGAGUUAACGAUUUCUGUUGCAAAACGUUUUGUAGCAACAGAAUCGGCGUAAUGAUUACACCCCUGAUUCAUGUGGGGUUGUUGUAAUGUUUGCGCCAGGAGUUGCCUAAACAUUUUUAGAAAACGAGACAGUAAAACUGAUAGAAGUGUCUCUUUUGGUAAAGUUGACAACCUCGGGAGUUUGGACAGCAUGAUGCGAACCAGUCCUCUGGUGAGAUGUUCCCUCCUUUGCCAGUGAUGCAAGAGAGGUUAUAGCUUUAAACAAAGCAAAAUGCACAUUAGUGAUACAAACCCCCAAAAGGCAGGUUUAUGGAAACAGUUGUGGCAAACCUUUGGCCAAUUUGUCACAUUUGCUGCAUACUCAUAUUUUCACAUUUUAAAUUAGCUUUGUGGCAAUCUGUUGUAACUUGCGAACUACUGGCAAACAAUUCUGGGAAACUUGUGGAGAACAUUUUGCAAAUUUGCUGCAAACUCCGUAUGAAUAUGCAAAUUAGACCCGGUUUUGGUUACUUUGUGUUAACAACAUUGAAAUGUUUUAUCUACAUUAACCAAAUCACAUAACUUAGUUCUCAAGAGAAAAAAACGUAAAUAUAAAAUGUGGUAAAUAUACUGAACAUUUGAACAAUAAUCAGCAGCAUGGUAAUGAAGAAAAGAGCAAAGACUGGAUAUUUCUCAAAUAAAUGGUUUAGUUAAUGUUUUUAUGUAGCUUACAUUAGACAAAUGGGAAAACUUUGGGGGUGUUGACCUUAGGAUGUUUAAAGGUGCAACUACAUAAAUAUGUACAUGAGCCAAGUGAUAACUGAGCAAUAGACUUCAACCAUUGGAAGUUUAAAAGAUAAUUAACAAUGUUAUGAAUUAAAAACAAAAACAAACCCAGUUCAGAACUAUUGCCUUUUUAGCGAACUUUGGAGAUGGCAGCCCUGUGGAAGCCCUUUGUCCAACGCUUGUUGAAUGCAUGCACUGAAACAAUCAGAAAACAUAAAACUAACUAAAUCAGGACACUGAAAGCAAUUAAUUUAGCUGACACAUUUUUGUUUCCCUACCAUCCCAGCCCCUCCCUUUCCUACACACAAUCAGGGUACAGUGUUGAAUUUUAAAUAAUUAAUUUGUUUUGUCUGCAUUUCAGAAAAUAGAGAAUUGUCCACAAUGUACAAUAAUAUAUAUAUUUUUUAAAUAGCACGUUGAAACAAAGCCCUAUUGUCUAAGUAUGUGUUAUUUCAUAAGAUGACAAUCAAUCAUAUCUUAUGAAAUCUUAAAAUGUAUGUAUAUUAUUUCAUGAACAAAACAGUCCAAACAGCUGAACUUGAUGUGCACACUCAGAUUGCAAUCUGAUAAAAACAAAGCAUGUGUGUGUGUUACACUGUCCUAAGUGGUAUCAACACAGAUCUGUCUAUCAGACUGUGCCAGAGCAAAUCCAUAGAUAUUCACAUUCACUGACACACUUCAGCUACAGUAUCUUAGGUGACAGCACACAUAAUGAUCUAUAUUUGGGUAGAGUCAAAACAUUUUUACACAGUUAACAAGUGUAAAAUAUUACGUUUGAAGGUCACUCUACUAAGGACAUGGACUAAUGACUGUCAUUACUUAUAAAGCACUUUUCACAAUUUCUAAAAUGUCGCAUUUCUAUUUAAAAUAAAUAUUUGUGAUAGGAUGAAAGGGUAGAGGAAUGUGCUUCAGCCCAGCUUGAACAAAAAAUGUCAUUAUAUAUGUUAAUCAUACACAUGUUUAAAGAUAUUAAAACAAAGGGGAUACCUAGUCAGUUGCACAAGUGAAUGCAUUCCGCAUUUAACCCAACCACUCUGAAUCAGAGAGACACUCAUGGCUCAUCCAUUCAUUGAGUUAGUCACACUAUGAAAUGCUACCAAAUAAACCAAAAUUCAUUCAUAAUACUGUGAAUAUAUAGUUUCACAGACAUAUUGUUAUUUUUUUUCUGGUUUGUCGGAAAUCAUUAAGAAUAAUAUAAAACCAGUCUGCACACCACCAAGGUGAACUGGUUUAGUUUUGACUCUUGGUUGACAGUGUUGGGGAUGGGUAAUGAUUUGAUGCUCAGUGCCAAAUCAACACAACUGGAUAAGAAGAGGUCUAAGCCAUCAGGUGCCCAGUUUAGGAAAAAGAGGAAAGAAGAGGAGAAACGCUCAAAAGAUUAAAAGGGGCACUUCUGAAAUAUUUUGGAGCACCCUCUGGCACUGGCCAGGAUGAGAAGCCAUGUACCUCCUCAGCCACACAGGCCUCUUCAGAAAUGAUCUCGGGGCCUCAGGAUGAGGAACCAUCCACCUCCUCAGCCACACAGGUGUCUUCACAAAUGUUGUCUGAGCCUGAGGAUGAGGAUGAAGACCCAUUCACUUCCACUUCUCCCCAGAAGGAUUCUUCAGAAAUGCCUGUAGCAGCAUCCCCACCAAAUUCUGCUGCUGAGGAUGAUUCACUGUCUACAGACCCUGCUGACAGGCCUUCAGUUCUGACUGACAGAAUUCGGACACAACUAGUUUGCAGAGGACCAAGUGAGGAUGGCAGCACACUUCCAGUGACCGUAGCUGAAGCAGAGAGGAGCUUUUCAAAGCUCAUCAAAUUCUACCUGAGGUCCACCAUGUCACAGGAAUGCCUUAGUGGCCUUGCUGUCAUUAGUAUUAACCAUGCAAUUGCUGGGCAGAUUUCUUAUGAUUAUGUAAUUGAUGACUUUGCAUCAAGGAAGGCAAGAAAGGUCAGGGUUUAGAUGGCAGUUGUGCAAUUUAGUUUGUUUCUUGUUUGAAGUGCAAUACACAGGUUCUCUUCUUUAUAAGUGUGUUAUUCUAGUUGUGUAUUUGUGUGAUAUAGGAUUCGUGCGAUUUAGUUUUAUUUGUGGUUUUUGUGCGCAAUAGGGAAAUAGUGUAAUAAUUUGAUUCUAACUUUUAUUUGUAUUUAUAUACUACAUUUUGUUUCUAUUUGUCUUUGUUAUGAUUAUUUAUUUGUGUUCCAAAUGUCUGAAUAAAAAUUACAGUUAGUGCAGAA
RNA transcript from Oncorhynchus keta (chum salmon), 3257 nucleotides. It is a transcript of the gene named protein stum homolog, with no coding region annotated. The transcript has 4 exons. NCBI's taxonomy places the organism in Eukaryota, Metazoa, Chordata, Actinopteri, Salmoniformes, Salmonidae. The record is from RefSeq and is a predicted model, not a curated record.